This is a long non-coding RNA of Nothoprocta perdicaria, 2964 nucleotides long. RefSeq lists it as uncharacterized. NCBI's taxonomy places the organism in Eukaryota, Metazoa, Chordata, Aves, Tinamiformes, Tinamidae. The record is from RefSeq and is a predicted model, not a curated record. The transcript has 3 exons.
UCCAGCAGUGCGGCGCGGYCAGAAAUGCUAGCUGAGCCCGUGCAAGGAGGAAGCCUUAGCGGAACUGCUGGAAUUACCCCCGCGAGAGCCUGUGCAGAUUGACUCAGCAUCCACAGAGCUGAUCUGAUUGGGGGCCUACUAAAUACAUUAACGACGUCGAAAGUAGCCUACUUUAAGAGAAAAUAUGCAGAAGAAGAACAUUUACGUCAAGAUUACCAUGAGUAUUGUCCAAAACACCUGAUACUACCCGAGGACCGGACUUGUAUCUUAAAACUUUCUCUCCAGAAACUCCGAUUCCUGGAAGACCCUGAAGCCUAUCUCCGUAGGUCGGUAUUAAUUAACAAUCUGUUGAGGAAGAUUCACCUAGAGACAGAGAGGGAGAGCUAUGAAUACUUUAAGGAGGCUCCCUGUUAUAGGACUGCUUACUCUGAUGCACGAAAACGGCUGAAGUUUAUGGUACAAGAAUGCUGUUCUCAGUCACUCUAUUAUGAAGAGCUGCAUUCGUAUCAUAUCGUGCCUUAUUCUGCAGAGAACGCCAUUUACGGAAUGGGCUACACAAGCAGCCACUUGGAGCAAAAUUCUCAAUUGCUUAUUUAUAAAAUGAAUUAAAAGUAGCUGUUAGACCCACUGAUGUUUGUUUCUGAAUGCUUGGACUGCUUAUGGAGAUGUUAAGAUGAGGCACUAAUUGCAGAUGUCCUUGGGAUCAAGGCCGGGACGCGAGCGGAGCUCGGUGGAAGGUGCUUUGACUCACGCUCUGCAGCCGCUGGUGUCAACCCCGCGGUUACAGAGUGCGUUGCCGGACACGCAGAGCUGGUGCAUACAGAGGUUCUCGCACGCAGAGACUGUGCGCAAUGUGUUUUGUAGAAACAAAGCUGCAUUUCAGUUGCCUGUGUGUAGAUACGGAUGUCCAAAGCCACUUUGCAGUUCAAUUGUGUCAUCCCCAGUGGAAAGGGAGCCCCAAAGCAGCAGAGCAGUCUAACAGCGAGGAGUAAAAAGCUCGAUAUUUCCUGUAAAUGUAUAGGUAGAAAGUUUCUUUGAAGAUGAAGGAGACAGUGCCAAAGCAAACAGCCUUUUGCUUAGGAUUUUCCGAGACUAGCUCACUUGCUACUUGCAAAACAGCCACUAUUGAGAUUUGUAGGGUUUUAUUUUUUUAAGUAAUUGCAUUCACCUUUUACUUCUCUCUUAGCUGGUUUCUACUUUGCUAUUUUAGAGCAAAACAGAAUGACUCACAGGAAAGACUGUUUCUGCAGCCAGUCACCAGUGAUUCCUUAGCUUCAUUUGAUUCUUUCCCUAGUUGUUUCCCUGAUCCUUUUUGCAUGCUGAUUUACUGUUUGGCCAGAGGUUCCUAUUGGUGCUAGGGAACAGACAGUCAUUUCAUUUUAUGUGGAAUAAAAAAAGGCAGAAAAACAACAAAAACUCCUAUUGAUAAGAAUGAAUGUAUCUGACAGAUGCUAGCAAAACCUCAGAGGUUUUCUUGAUGACAAUACUCAUCGUUAGUAAUAGUUUUUCAGGUUAAGURAAAUGUCCAAUUUCAGUCUGGGAAUUAACCUUAGAUUAUGUAAAUAUAUAUUUCACAAGUGUGUGCAAUGACCUGAGAGAUGUUCAGCAAACUGAGGACGAGAACGGGCAAGUUUCAUAGCUGCCAAAGCUACGUUAUGAAAAUACCAAAGAGUAAUAUAAGGGAAAAGGUGAUGCUCCAGGCAGGGAGUCGAAAGCAAAGAUUGCACUAUAACCUGUGGAAAUGUGAUUAAUGAGCCUGUAACUAUCAGCUAUGGACACAUCUGCUGUUCAGUUGAGAGUGGCUCGCAACACAGAGCUACUGAACAAAUACCCAAUGCGCUGCAAAACCAGCCCAAAUCCUAGGAAUCUGUCAGCUUGCAGGGAAGGAGCCGGUUUUGCACUGCUCGCUCCCACCACUGCAGCUUUAAAGUGAAUUAAAUGAGAACAAACUCUCAGCUGGAGGCAGAGACGUAUCUAGGAACCUAAUUUUUAUUCUGGCUUCUCUCGUGUCGGAGCGGCUGAUGCUCUUUCCGAAGCGUUACACAGUACGAACAAAUGCCGCUGGAUGGGCUUAAUCCAUAGGAUUCCUCCUGUUAAUGCUGCUUGCAACGUCGUGGUCCCGUGUGUUGCACUCAUCAGCGAGGCUGACAGCAGUGUUUGUGCAGAAACGCGGGGGAAAAAACGAGAGAGACGAGAGCAGCAAGUGCAAAGAGCAAACUCACUGACGCGUCGACGGGGAGAAGGCGCCCUAGGCUUAGCAGGCAGAAGGAAGCGGAGUGAAAUCUAGUGAUGUUUUUAAUAACAAUAACAAAAAGGCAACUGCCUAGUUCAAAAAAAGCGGAUAACCUGCAAAUCUGAGAACAUAAACAGCACAUAAACUGUGGGAAGGCUGGUAAAAAACAGGGCAGCGCUGCUUGGGAAGUGCAAUUAGAGUGAGUGUUCAGGCUGGAGAAGCUGCUGUUAGUUUUUUAUUUGGAGACUAAGCCCAUUUCUUGUCUCUCUGCACCCUCGGCCAGGCUGGAGCCCUUCGGAAAGGAGCAGCUAAAAGGGACUCUGCCCAUUGCAGUGGGGCAGUGGGGAAAGGCCAAGGGAAUUUUGAGCCCUCGUAGAGGGAGUCAGGCUGUUGUGAGCGGUGCCGUUAUCCCCAAAAGAGCAUUUUUACCCCCAACAUCAUGAUGCAUGCGCAGGGGUUCGGGUAGGGACAGUAGAAGGCAGCGAGGUGUCAAGGGAAAGUUACUUCUGUCCWCUGUUUUUUUCCAAAUCUGUAAUUCCCAGCUCUACAUCGACCUGGUUUAUACACCUUGUAUCCAUUUUCACCUGAAUUUGUAAUGAUCGGGCAACUACAUGAAGUGCUAAAAUCUCUUUUUAUUUUUCCCCAGUUCACUGCCCUACUUUAUUAUGUUCAUAUAAUAUCUCUGGCCUGAAAAGCAAAGCUUUUUAUAUAAAAUUAGUAAUGUUAUUUCU